UCCUACGGGGGGCAGCAGUGAGGAAUCUUGCGCAAUGGGGGAAACCCUGACGCAGCAACGCCGCGUGAGUGAGGAAGGUCUUCGGAUCGUAAAGCUCUGUCGGAUGGGAAGAAAUGCAUGGAAGCCAAUACCUUUCAUGCUUGACGGUACCAUCAAAGGAAGCACCGGCUAACUCCGUGCCAGCAGCCGCGGUAAUACGGGGGGUGCAAGCGUUGUUCGGAAUCAUUGGGCGUAAAGGGCGUGUAGGCGGCUAGAUAAGUCAGAUGUGAAAUCCCUGGGCUUAACCCAGGACGUGCAUUUGAAACUGUUUGGCUUGAGUAGGGGAGAGGAAAGUGGAAUUCCUGGUGUAGAGGUGAAAUUCGUAGAUAUCAGGAGGAACACCGGUGGCGAAGGCGACUUUCUGGCCCUAUACUGACGCUGAGACGCGAAAGCGUGGGUAGCAAACAGGAUUAGAUACCCCAGUAGUCCC
Molecule: ribosomal RNA, 469 nt
Filed under: uncultured bacterium
Lineage: Bacteria
Description: bacterial SSU rRNA
Rfam family: Bacterial small subunit ribosomal RNA
Source: RNAcentral